Molecule: long non-coding RNA, 374 nt
Filed under: Felis catus (domestic cat)
Lineage: Eukaryota; Metazoa; Chordata; Mammalia; Carnivora; Felidae
Description: lncRNA (ENSFCAG00000046338.2)
Source: RNAcentral
CUUCUUGAGGGCAGAGGCUGCAUCAUAUUUACCUUUGUGAGCUCAGCCUCUAGCUCAGUGGUUGGCACAUAGGAAGUACUUGGUAAAUAUUUCAUGAUUAAGUGAAUGAAUGAGUGAAUUCUGUCCCCUCCAUCUGUACCAAUCAUUUAUCUCCUGUUUUGUCAACUGUUUCUUAUUUUGAUUUUAUUUUUAAGUAAUCUCUACACCCAACAUGGGACUCAAACUUACAGCCCUGAGAUUAAGAGUCACAUGGUCUACUGAUUGAGCCAGCCAGGUACCCCUAAUUUUUUUUCUAUUGUAAGUACUAGAGAAUCUUAUAUAAUUUCUUCUUCCCUACUGUUGCUACCAUUAUUUUUUAAAUCAAAUUUGCUACA